Alligator mississippiensis (American alligator) is the source of this 46-nucleotide non-coding RNA. The record is from Rfam. Lineage: Eukaryota; Metazoa; Chordata; Crocodylia; Alligatoridae.
UAAAAGGACUUAUUCAAGUCCAUCGAUCCUGUUAAUCUGGUGUUUU